This 912-nucleotide long non-coding RNA is filed under the name Homo sapiens (human). Its description in RNAcentral is "long intergenic non-protein coding RNA 1320". Lineage: Eukaryota; Metazoa; Chordata; Mammalia; Primates; Hominidae. The record is from RNAcentral.
CUAAGCUUUCAUUUCCUCAACUGCAAGAUGAAGAUAAUACAACUGAAUUCCUAGAUUUGCCUUGAGGAUGAAAUGAAAUGGGAAAUAUAAAGUACCUAGUACAGGACCUGGAGUGUAGGAGGCACUAAGUCAUUGAUAACUAUUUUAAUCUCUGUUAUUUGCCAUCUUAUCCAUGGGCUUCACUUUGAUGAGCGCAGUAUCUUCUGCUGAAUGACUCUACUUUUUUGCUAUGAUGCGCCUACUCUUCUACUGUUUCUUUAACUGAUAUUCCUUUCUUCCAAAUUAUUCCAUGUAAAAGGUACUCUUCCAGAGCCUACAUUAAAUUGUUUGAUGGUCUAUAAUGAAGAAUUGACUUUUCUUUGUUCUCAAGCAAAGGACCUUUGGCCACCAAAGACACAUGUCCCUGAAUAGUCAAAGAAAGACUACUCUUGGGUAGACAGGUCGGUGUGGAUCCUUGCUCAGUCCAAUCAGUUGUGGUCAGGGAUUGGAAUCAUGUAAUCCAGAGGCAGCUCAGCAGGGAAUGUAGAUAAGGUCAAUCCACUCCUGGAAAUUACCUUCAGCUCUCUUUGAAAAUGGCUUCACUGUCUUCAUUUAUAACCCCGUGUAUUUUGGACUACCCUCCCAUCUUAUGAUGAUACUACCUGGAACACACAGCCUCCAAGGACACAUUGGCAGAGGAAGAGGAAGAUGGCAGAGACACAAACAGAGAUUAUCAUGGAGUUAUUAUGAUUUCCAUCUAAUACUUCCUCAUCUUACUGGAUUAUUGAACAAUCAAUACUGUUUGUCUACAGAGCAGAAGCCAUCUUUAUUUCUCUUACCUCUUUUUGGUAAAAACGAAGGAGGGAUCACUCUUGCACUGGAAAACCAACAAAUCACUGUGGAAACACAAGUAAUAACAUCGUGUUCUGUGAU